This 251-nucleotide ribosomal RNA is filed under the name uncultured prokaryote. RNAcentral describes it as "partial 16S ribosomal RNA". It matches the Rfam family "Bacterial small subunit ribosomal RNA", at positions 525 to 775 of the family's 1533-position model. The record is from RNAcentral.
ACGUAGGUGGCAAGCGUUAUCCGGAUUUACUGGGCGUAAAGGGUCCGUAGGUGGUUGGGAGGGUCUGGUGUGAAAGCGCUCGGCUUAACCUGGGAACUGCAUUCGAUACUGUCUGGCUAGAGUAUGGGAGAGGGAAGCGGAAUUUCCGGUGUAGCGGUGAAAUGCGUAGAUAUCGGAAGGAACAUCAAUGGCGAAGGCAGCUUCCUGGCCCAAUACUGACGCUCAGGUGCGAAAGCGUGGGGAUCAAACAG